Molecule: long non-coding RNA, 4223 nt
Filed under: Portunus trituberculatus (swimming crab)
Lineage: Eukaryota; Metazoa; Arthropoda; Malacostraca; Decapoda; Portunidae
Description: uncharacterized LOC123505507
Source: RNAcentral
ACCACUCAUUCCCACUCACCUUGUCAGAGAAGAUGUAGUCCCUAGAGUGAGUGCAGAUGACUGGGAUGUGGUAGAAGCCGCAGGUGUAGGAGACCGAAGCUGUCGUCACUGAGUCGUAAGAAGAACUCGCCACAACCACAGCGAACACCUGAGGAGAACAAGCACAUAUGUCUCCCUGUUCAACUGACCUUGAGUGCAUUUGUGAAGUGGAGCUCCGUGUCGUUGUCGUGAAGCACUCCCCCGAUGUUGAACCUCCUGGAGGGGGGAAGCGACCCCUGAGCACCACCACCACUCUCUGCCCCUGCCGCCACACUCGCCACCCACACCACCCACCACCACCUGUCGCACCAACGGGGCAUUAUUGCCAACGUGCCAGUGUUACCACCUACACCGUGAACUGUUAGUUAUAUUGAUAAUGAUUAUAACUUUCAGACUUUCAGUUUGUUAGACAAUGUAACUUACAUCAUUAAUUGUGCAAAAAACUAGCAAGCCGAAUAUUGACUGGUGUUCUAAUCUUGCGAAGGAACGAAGUUUUUAAUUUUUCACUCAUUCACUUUCAGGACAUUUUUUUUUUUUCCGUGAAGAUCCGGCACAGCUUUGGGAAAUCCCGUUGAAAUAUAUUUUUUCCUCCUUUUCUCUUUUACAAUAAGAUGAGUAGUUUGCAGUUUCGCGGUAUGCAUUGUGCCGAUACCUGAUCAAUCAACACGCUGAACCUCAAGUGCCCUACUCUCCACACACAGCGGGCAGGAGCACCACUCACCAUCACUUCUCCGCGUCUCUUUAACACCAACGGAGCAUCACUCGGCACUGAACACUGUCACAUGGAGCACUGGUAGCACUGUAAGUGGCUACACGACGUGCCCUGCUAAGGCGUCAGGGCAGCGUGCCAAGGGCCGGUAUUCUUCCCCUCCCCACACUUCCCCACUACUACUAGUGCCACCCCAUCCGCCACUCGCCAUUCCCUCCCAUGUAUCAUCUCUGCUUCCGUCGCCAAAUCCCUGCCUCUAUAAACCCCUGCAGAAUGAGUGCAUAUGGUGGUGGUUUAACUACCGGAGAACACGCCUCUACGCCGCCACCACCAAACAUGUCCGUGUCUAUUUCAUUGAACAGCACUCUAGAAAGUAUACGAAGCUCGAAAAAGCUUUUUUCCAAUACCUAAUACACUGCGGGAAGCUCUGUCUAAUACAGUCAAUGGAAUGACGUCGCAGCUCUCUCAUUCCACAUUGUUUCAACGGAGGUUGGCCAGACAUUCUUUUCUCCAGCUUAUUCUUCAAGUAUUUAGUCCAUUGAAAGAUAAUAUCUAUAUUUUAUACAAUCACCGUAAUACAUCGCAAAAUUGGUAAUUUAGGUUUUACGCGGCCCAAAAUCUGCCAUGUUAAUUUUCCACAGCCAUUCAGUCGUUUUGGAGAUAGUUGUUUGUAUAGCUAUUUCUAGUCAGUUUUUUUUUUUUUUUUCCUCCCCUAGUCAUAUUUGUAUGUGCAAGUAUAAUCAGUUUUCUGAUGUAUGGAUACUUUUGUCUUCCCGAGUCAUGCUUCGAUCUUUGGUGUUGCUUUGUUCGAGCAAGGAUUUGGAAACUGAAUCUUGAAGUGCGUCACAGCAAAGAUAAUCUUUCAAUUGCAUCCCUUCAUGAGGGACUAGGAAGGAUCGCGGACACAGUCAGGUUCCACUCUCGCUUGUGAUCUGUGUAGCUGCUAUGAUUUUGAAAGAAUAUCGGUAUAGACUUAGUAACACUCCCUAGUGAAAUUCCAUAAAUAUUACUUCAUUGUUGUUCUGAGUGUAACGUGCCCCAUAUGUCACAGCGUUACAGAGCACGAGUCGUGGUGGUACACAAAUUCCCUCUAAGGCGUCGGCACUGCGAAUGAGUUGUAUGACAGUAAGGAAGGGGCUGGACCUUCUCUUCGAGACUGAGGUACGUUUCCUUUUGUUUGAACAACUUUCCUUUGGGUAAAAUUCUAGUUUCUGCACUUUCAUUUUCGCGGUGAAAAAAGUUAUUCACCAAUAGUGGUUCUUCAUGGAUGAGAAAAAUUUUGUACACAUGGUAAUGAAUAUUCAUUGCACAAUACGUAUGUGGGAGUUUUUGUUUGGUGGUCAUACAUAGUUGUUAUAGUCAAGGGUGAGAGACGGAUAUUCUUUCAUCCUUAGUAACUAGCGUGUAAACUAUGUACCGCGUGCUGCAAACAUGCUUACCAAAGUAUUUAUAACAUUGCAUAACCUAAACAAUUACCGUGUUGGGAUCACACGCAAUGCAUAUCAAACAAACGUAAAGCAGGCGUUGAAACUCCGUUUCAAAACUUUACAUGUAGGUAGAGUUCGAGCUUCAUCCUAUACCAGUGAAGCUGAGAGUAUUCAAUUUGUGGUCUUGAUCAUCCAUUAAGCCUUUCGGAAUCUGUAAAUUGUUUCAAAUUUCAGUCUUUUUUAAUAGUAUUACGCUGCUUGUGUGUGUGUGUGUGUGUGUGUGUGUGUGUUGAUUUAUAUUUUCUGCUAAUUGAUGUAAAUUUCUUAGACAGAACAAAUGAAAAUAAAACAAAGUUUAUCUUACUUUAUUACAAUGUGUGCAAAUUGUGAAAAUACUUAGGCUUACAUUUUAGUAAAUGAGACUAUUUCAUUCAAGCAGUCACACACCACAGGUUCUUGGAUUAUCUGGAUAAGCCACACAGUACUGACCAAGGAAGACCAUGAUAUGCCUUCCUUGGUAACACCUCUACUAAAUACUGUACCACAUAUUGGGACAUCAUCUGUAUACAAGAAUCACAUAAGGACAUCUUGUCACUAAGGAACACUUAAGGGAACGUUAUACAUACACCAACCAAACACUGCAAUCCAAUGACUUUUUUAUAUUCUAUAUUAUAAAUCAACAAAUUAAAAAGGAAAGUAAUUCUUCAUCUAUCAUUAUUCUUUUAAAUGACAAACUAGUUUGUGAAUUAUUUUCAUAAAAUAAAGUAAAAACUAUAUUACAUGAUUUUAUUUGUCUCCUUGUGAUGGUAAUCCCAAAGAAAGCAGGAGAAGAAUGUAAGCACAUUACUGAAGUAACUUGUAGGCACACUGCUCUGUACACUGAAUUAGAAAUCAGCGGCCUACAUGUCGACUAUAAUGCCAUAUGUGUCGGCUUGUCAAUGCAUCAUAGGGAACACUUUGUUACUCUCUCACUUUUCACUUUAUUUCAUUGUGGAUGACAUUACUUGUAGCCACUGGGCAGCAGGUGUGGCAGUAGGCUACAGCACCAUGUCAUAAUGAACAGAUAUACUGUAGUCAACAGUCUGUACCUACUACACCAAUAAAUAUUAGGCACUGUUAAUUGAUUAAUUAUAUUAGUUAGUUGCUUUUAGCACACUAGGAGUUUGAUUGUACUUAAUGAUCACAUUUACAAUGUGAAAUUAUGCUACCAUAAAAAUUGUGAUGAUGAAAAUCUAAAAUGAGGUAAUCAUCAUUGGCAGUAUAUCUCUAUAAUUAUCAUAGGCAGUGAUAUAAAUAUAAAACAAAGCUAAAUGUAAGCCAGAAAAGUACAUAUAGAGUUUGUGAUGAAAGACCUUGAAACAGUGUUACUGAUUUGAUAAAUAUGUUGGCCAGUCAUCAUAUUUUUAUUCAAAACAGAAUGCAAAGUGUGUUACAGAAGAAGAAAAUUAUGCAGUGAAUCAGAAGUCAAGUUUCCCAAACCAUGUUGCAUUCAUCACAUACAUACUUGUUAGAAAUAGAAUAAAGUUGCAUCAGGCAUGUUGUACACCUCAUUAAUGUAUUUAUCCUUGAAAUACUCAUGGUCAAGUACCACUGAAGGAUGUGAUGGUGUAUUAAUCCUCAUACACACUUUGCAUAAUAGAAAUAACUCUUUAGAGUAUCUGGAUUCAGUGACUAAUACAUAUUGUAAUUAACCUGAAGUCAUAACUUUAAGACCUUGUGAAUUGUUUAUCCUUCUGAUGUUUGCCAUGGUUGGUACUAAUUACUUUUCAGUCAUCUAGAGAAAUCAUGAUUAAAGAUGUAUUUUUGUGUAUAGAAGUGUUCCACAGCAACAGAGCUUGUGAAUGUCUUGAACCAGUGGCCAUGCCCUCUGAAGUAGUGCAGCUGAAGUAGCAAAUUAAAGGCUUUCUAAGAAUCAUUAUAAAUAGAUCAACAGAUUGCUUUUUCCUCUUAAUCAAAUCUUUUAAGUGAGUAACAGUGAAACUUUUCAAUAAACAAAAAAUAAACACUACAUAAACUUUUAAAUAAACAAAAAAUAAACACUACAAAAU